AAGAUAUUAUUUUAUAAUAAGAAUAAGCUUCUAACUUAAUCUAUAGCAGUGAAACUCUGUUAAUAUCUUU
Molecule: transfer RNA, 70 nt
Filed under: Scarabaeidae sp. BMNH 1274753
Lineage: Eukaryota; Metazoa; Arthropoda; Insecta; Coleoptera; Scarabaeidae
Description: tRNA-Ser
Source: RNAcentral